Molecule: ribosomal RNA, 253 nt
Filed under: uncultured bacterium
Lineage: Bacteria
Description: partial 16S ribosomal RNA
Rfam family: Bacterial small subunit ribosomal RNA
Source: RNAcentral
UACGUAGGGUGCAAGCGUUGUCCGGAAUUAUUGGGCGUAAAGAGCCCGUAGGCGGUUUGUCGCGUCGGCUGUGAAAACUCUGGGCUUAACCCAGAGCCUGCAUUCAAUACUGGCGGGCUAGAGUUCUGGAGGGGAUAGCGGAAUUCCUGGUGUAGCGGUGAAAUGCGUAGAUAUCAGGAGGAACACCGGUGGCGAAGGCGGCUAUCUGGACAGAGUCUGACGCUGAGGCGCGAAAGCUAGGGGAGCAAACAGG